CCCGGGCCUUGUACACACCGCCCGUUACGCCAUGGAAGUCGGGAGUGCCCGAAGUCCGCGUCCUAACCGCAAGGAGGGAACGGCCUAAGGCAAGCUCGAUGACUGGGGCG
This 110-nucleotide ribosomal RNA is filed under the name uncultured bacterium. RNAcentral describes it as "partial 16S ribosomal RNA". It matches the Rfam family "Bacterial small subunit ribosomal RNA", at positions 1373 to 1482 of the family's 1533-position model. The record is from RNAcentral.